UCCAAUGUUGUGCCAUAGCUCAGUGGUGGAGCAUCUGCUUUGCGUGCAGAAGGUCUCGGGUUCAAUACCUGGCACCUCUAGGAA
Podarcis lilfordi (Lilford's wall lizard) is the source of this 84-nucleotide non-coding RNA. NCBI's taxonomy places the organism in Eukaryota, Metazoa, Chordata, Lepidosauria, Squamata, Lacertidae. The record is from the annotation of a GenBank genome assembly.